Gossypium arboreum is the source of this 80-nucleotide transfer RNA. It matches the Rfam family "tRNA". Rfam says of the family: Transfer RNA (tRNA) molecules are approximately 80 nucleotides in length. Their secondary structure includes four short double-helical elements and three loops (D, anti-codon, and T loops). The record is from Rfam. Lineage: Eukaryota; Viridiplantae; Streptophyta; Magnoliopsida; Malvales; Malvaceae.
GACAGUUUGGGCGAGUGGUCUAAGGCACCAGAUUUAGGCUUUGGUUCGAAAGGACGUGGGUACAAAUCCCGCAACCGUUA